AAUAUUGGACAAUGGGGGCAACCCUGAUCCAGCCAUGCCUCGUGUUUGAAGAAGGUCUUCGGAUUGUAAAGCACUUUAAGUUGGGAGGAAGGGCUUCAGGCAAAUACCCUGAAGUUUUGACGUUACCACCAGAUUAAGUACUGGCUAACUCUGUGCCAGCAGCCGCGGUAAUACAGAUGGUGCAAGCGUUAAUCGGAAUUACUGGGCGUAAAGCGCGCGUAGGUGGUUCAGUAAGAUGGGUGUGAAAGCCCCGGGCUUAACCUGGGAACUGCUUUCAUAACUGCUGAGCUAGAGUACGGUAGAGGGUAGUGGAAUUUCCUAUGUAGCGGUGAAAUGCGUAGAUAUAGGAAGGAACACCAGUGGCGAAGGCGACUACCUGGACUGAUACUGACACUGAGGUGCGAAAGCGUGGGGAGCAAACA
This 422-nucleotide ribosomal RNA is filed under the name uncultured bacterium. RNAcentral describes it as "partial 16S ribosomal RNA". It matches the Rfam family "Bacterial small subunit ribosomal RNA", at positions 360 to 774 of the family's 1533-position model. The record is from RNAcentral.